Molecule: ribosomal RNA, 253 nt
Filed under: uncultured bacterium
Lineage: Bacteria
Description: partial 16S ribosomal RNA
Rfam family: Bacterial small subunit ribosomal RNA
Source: RNAcentral
UACGUAGGGAGCAAGCGUUGUCCGGAAUCAUUGGGCGUAAAGCGCGUGUAGGCGGCCCGAAAAGUCUGGUGUGAAAACUUGAGGCUCAACCUCAAGCUGUCGCUGGAUACUGUCGGGCUUGAAUCCGGAAGAGGAGUGUGGAAUUCCCAGUGUAGAGGUGAAAUUCGUAGAUAUUGGGAAGAACACCGGUGGCGAAGGCGACCAUCUGGACCGCAACUGACGCUGAGGCGCGAAAGCGUGGGGAGCAAACAGG